RNAcentral lists this ribosomal RNA (318 nucleotides) under Triticum aestivum (bread wheat). RNAcentral describes it as "partial small subunit ribosomal RNA". Lineage: Eukaryota; Viridiplantae; Streptophyta; Magnoliopsida; Poales; Poaceae. The record is from RNAcentral.
AUGUGUCCCAAUAACUAUUGGCAAUAUUUUGUCUGGUGUAGCAAAUUUCUUCCUGGCAAAGAAACCUUCUAUACCGUGGGCCUAGCUGCUACUUGUUGGGCCAUAUGGUUGGCGCGUAACCGAGCUACUUUUGAGAAAAAACAGAUUAAGACUCCUUUUGAGAUUGUUUUCUCCCUUUGCUCGUUUCUUUUAUAUUGGACAGGUUUACAGAAAGGAGAAGCGGCUGGAGAACUUCGCGCAGGUGCAGAGAUGAUCAGGAACGGCAUGCUGCAGCUGAUGAGACUGUGUGACCCUGCCAAGCAAACGAUUCAGACAUGA